This 429-nucleotide ribosomal RNA is filed under the name Chloroflexota bacterium. RNAcentral's name for it is "Chloroflexi bacterium partial 16S ribosomal RNA". It matches the Rfam family "Bacterial small subunit ribosomal RNA", at positions 355 to 776 of the family's 1533-position model. Lineage: Bacteria; Bacillati; Chloroflexota. The record is from RNAcentral.
UGGGGAAUUUUGCACAAUGGGCGCAAGCCUGAUGCAGCCAUGCCGCGUGUGUGAAGAAGGCCUUCGGGUUGUAAAGCACUUUCAGCGGGGAGGAAGGCGGUGAGGUUAAUAACCUCACCGAUUGACGUUACCCGCAGAAGAAGCACCGGCUAACUCCGUGCCAGCAGCCGCGGUAAUACGGAGGGUGCAAGCGUUAAUCGGAAUUACUGGGCGUAAAGCGCACGCAGGCGGUCUGUCAAGUCGGAUGUGAAAUCCCCGGGCUCAACCUGGGAACUGCAUUCGAAACUGGCAGGCUAGAGUCUUGUAGAGGGGGGUAGAAUUCCAGGUGUAGCGGUGAAAUGCGUAGAGAUCUGGAGGAAUACCGGUGGCGAAGGCGGCCCCCUGGACGAAGACUGACGCUCAGGUGCGAAAGCGUGGGGAGCAAACAGG